GAUGAACGCUGGCGGCGUGCCUAAUACAUGCAAGUCGAGCGAACAGACGAGGAGCUUGCUCCUCUGACGUUAGCGGCGGACGGGUGAGUAACACGUGGAUAACCUACCUAUAAGACUGGGAUAACUUCGGGAAACCGGAGCUAAUACCGUAUAAUAUAUUGAACCGCAGGGUGCGAUAGUGAAAUACGGUGUUUCGGGCGGUGAUUGAUGGAUCCGCGCCGCAUUAGCGAGUUGGUGGGGUAACGGCUUACCAAGGCGACGAUGGGUAGCCGGCCUGAGAGGGUGACCGGCGACGGUGGGACUGAGAUACGGCCCAGACGCCUACGGGAGGCAGCAGUGGGGAAUAUUGCACAAUGGGCGGAAGCCUGAGGCAGCAACGCCGCGUGCGGGAUGACGGCCUGCGGGUUGUAAACCGCUUUCGCCUGUGACGAAGCGUGAGUGACGGUAAUGGGUAAAGAAGCACCGGCUAACUACGUG
RNAcentral lists this ribosomal RNA (477 nucleotides) under uncultured bacterium. RNAcentral's name for it is "partial 16S ribosomal RNA". It matches the Rfam family "Bacterial small subunit ribosomal RNA", at positions 28 to 507 of the family's 1533-position model. The record is from RNAcentral.